AUACAAGGGCUUCCAUGAUACUUUUACCAACACUUUUGCCAUCCAAUUAUAAAACCAAACAUUCAGCCACAACAACAAUGUUAUACUAGAAGCAAUGCUAAAUAAAACACUUUUUCCAUCCAAUUAUAGAACCAAACAAAGAAGCCGCGUGUUAGGUGCUUUCCAAAAAUACUUUUCAAGUAUGCUCAAGUAGAAGCAAGGCAAUAGAACCAAACAAUGAAGCUAGAUGCUAUGUACUUUUCAAAAGCACUUUUCAACUGAUAUUAAAGGUAAAAAGACCUCUCCAGUCACUAUCAAUUUCGAAAUUGAACAAAUUGGUCCCUCUCAAAAAACAAUCAAAGCAAUUUAAUCCUCGUCAAUUUCGAAAGUGUGCAACUAAUGUCAAUUAAUUUCGGAUUUGAUGUUUUCCAUCAAUCGUACUUGAUUAUAAUUGGUAUAAUAAUUUUAGCCCUCAAAGAUUACAUAUUCUAUCAAUUUGGUCUUAAUUUAACAAACUUAUCCCGCAACAUAUGUGUAAAUGUUGAGGUUGAAUUUAUUGAAUUUUUUAAAAUUAAGGCUAAAAUGGAAAAAUAUGUAAUCAUCCGAGGCUAAAUUUGUUAUUAUAUCAAUCAAAAUAUAUACAAUUGACAGAAAACACACAGUCAUUAAUUGUCCUUAGUUGCUCCCCUUCAAAAAAUUAACAGCUAUUAAAUUGCUUCAAUUUCUUUGACAGGAAUCAAUUUGCACAAUUUUGAAAUUGGGAGGGACUGGAGAGGUCUUUUUACCAAUAUUAAACUAGGGAAGAAAAGAAACCUCGGAUUAAGUAAUUGCAGCAAUCGAUGACGUCUUUCCUCUGGUAUGUCUUCAAUUUUUUUCCUGAAGAAGAAGAGAACAUGAUUUCCAUUACAAAUCCUAUAAUAUAACUAAAGAAACAAACAAAAAGCAAGAAAAAAUGUAAAAUGAGAAGAGCUAAACCAGAGAUAGGCAGCUGGAUUAUAAGAACCAGGAUCCAAAGGAAUCAAAUAGUUAGGAGGAUCAAGAAACGUAACGACAUCCAUUUCUUCCAAGUAAGGUUCAAACGACGUCGUCUCCGAAGCUCCAUUCACCCCUGCUCUAGCUCCAACUGAAAUCUUCCUUCCACCGCAAAAUCUUAGACCUGAAAUUCAGAAAUCACAAAACCACACUAAAACACAGUACUAGCUUGCAUGAUUUUAGUAAUAUUAAAUGGAAACGAAACUGACCUGGAAACGAGGAUAGGCCAAGAGCCGGCGGUGAGUGUGAAGAUGAGCUGAUUGAAAUCAGGCAUCCGCCGCUUGGUCUCGAGCAAAUAGGCGUCACAAAAGAUAAAGGAGUGUUAUAGCUUCCAAUAGAAACCCUCAUACUUAUCUCGAUUCCAACACUAACCUCUCUUGCAGUUGCAUCUAAAAUUGUGCUUAAAAUUUUCAACUAUAUCAUCUCAUAUGCUGCAAAUCUUUGAAUCUUUUGGUUUCUCCCUCGCUUUUCACUUGCACUCAAGCUUCCAAUUUGUGUUCUUUUUUAUUUAUUUAUUUGAAUUUCAUUUUCUCUGUAAUAUGGUUAAAUAUCCGGUAUCACUGAACUAUUACUAAAUUUAAAUUUUGUAGUGUAACUUAAAAAAAUUAUAAAAUUACUAUUGAAUUAUUUUAAAAUUUUUAUUUAAAUUAUUAAAAUUCUCUUUUAAAUUUAAUUCACAAGUUUCAAAGGAGAAAAAGUUAUUUAGAUUUUAAUUUAUAAAUUUGUGAGGUCGACGGUUAUUUUAUGAAAAAAAUUGAAAUGUAGAAGAGAAGGAAAAUAAAGCUUUUGAUUAAUAUAAGCGGUGCAAAUAAUUAGGGGUGAAGCUAAAAAAAAUUUUAGCGGUCGAAAUUAAAUUGUAAUUUUUAAUAACCUAUAUUUUUAUAAUUUUUUAAAAUAUUAAAUUAUUUUUUAUUAGUUUUAAAAAAUUAAAUAAAUUUUUUAUUAUUUUUAGGGGUCAAAAUAUAAUUUUACCUUUCCUAAUAUUAAAUUUUCUAAAGGACCUAAACAUAUUUACUUGGUUGAUUUUUCGUAGAUUGGUUUACCAAUAUCCUAAUGGUGUUAACACAAGGUACCAUAAUAAAACACAUAUUGAUAGUUUAAGUAUCAGCAAACAUUUUUAAAGUAUAGAUAUAAAAUUAGAUAUUUUAUGAAAGUAAAUAUAUCAUAAUAAAAUAUAUAUUGAUAGUUUAAGUACUGCAUUGAAUACUUUUAAAGUAUAGAUAUUAUAUUAAACAUUUCAUAACGUACAGGUAUAAAAAAUUAAUAAGGUUGUUAGACAAGUUAAAUUAUUAAUUUAUUUUUAAAAUAUUUGAUUAUUCGUUACAGAAAUCAGAAAAUGUCUUCUAAUAAUGAAGACUAUUAUUAUCAAGAAAUAAAAAAGAAUUAUUAUUUGGCUUUCUUUGUAACCGCGGCCACCUGCUGCCUAUCUGCUUUCCACCCAAGUCACCAACUGUCUUCCAUGGCUGGACUCUUCUGAAGUUCCCAAACUGCCCUUCCAUCCAUUUCUUGCCUUUCAUCUCCCACAAAACCUAUUGCUCGAGCUCCGUUCGAUCUGAUUUUCAGCUGAAAGGAAGAACCAAGAAGGAAAUGGCGACGGCGAAGGCGAAAACGGGACGAUCCACGCGACCAACGGCGCCUCCGAAAGAAAACGGCGCGAAGAUCGAGGAAGGCCUUAACGUUUUCAAAUCCGAUGAUUUCGACGCCGAUGCUUUUGUUCAGUCCAAGUGUUCUCUCGACGACAAGGUUUCUUUGUUCUAUUUUCUUUGCGUUUCUUUUUCUUAAAAGGAAUCUCAGUUUUUAACUAUGAAACGGUUUCGUUGCUUCCUUUAGGAAAUAAGACAAUUAUGUUCGUAUCUGUUGGAUUUGAAGAGAGCUUCUGCUGAAGAAAUGCGUAAAAGUGUGUAUGCUAAUUACCCCGCCUUUAUACGGUGAGAUGUUUUAGCUUUCCUCAACUCUGCUCUGUUAUUCUCUUUGUUGUUGCUAAAUCAAAUUAAUUACUAAUGCAAUUUACUUUUAUUUGUUUAUUGAAACUAGAAGAAAAAAGAAAGAAAGGAGAUCAUAUCGGCAUUUCCUCUGCUCUACCUACUACAAUAGUUUUUGUUGUAGUGCUCUCAUAAAAUUACUGCUUAUUUGACCCAAUUUCAUUUGAUUCUUGCUUCUCUUGUUUCAAUUAAGGAUUCAGUUAGCUAGAUCUUGUGAACAAGAAAAACGUCUUUCCCGCCUAACACAAAAUCAUGUAACCGCACAUCCUUUCUUUGGUUCUCAAUUCAGUUACUCCCCCAAAUCCCUUUCUAUCAAAAUUCCUAUCAUUCGUAAACCAUCGAGCUUCAAUGUAGAGGAUGGAAUCUUAUCCUAUCAGACUCGAUAUUUUGAGUAGAUACAUACAUGCAUAUAUAUAUAUAUACUUCUUUGUUCUGAAGAAUUAAUUCUGAAUUGUAUAUUAUCUCUUUAGAAGCAUUGAUAAAGACAGUUAACAUGGCUACAUUCAUAGAAAUUCUAGAGGUGUUACAUUUAAGGGUUCAUGUUGGGUGGGAAGUUGAACCUUGGCCUGGAAUUUUCCAAUCAGAAAGGGUUGGGAACUGACCAUGAAGUCAAAGUCUCUGAGAGGUUUUGUAAAUGGAACUUCUUUUUGUUGGAAUCCUCUGAAGGGAAGGAGGAGAGGAUUUUGAUAUCUUUGCUUACUGUUGAUGACAUUAGUCUUUAGAGGAGACUAGCACUGUAGAAAUUGAAUGGGGUUUGGACUUUUAAGACAUUUGGUCUUCUUUCCUGCAGCACAUCUAAGGAGAUAUCUGAUUUAGAAGGAGAGCUUUCAUCUAUAAGAAAUUUGCUGUCAACACAAGCAACAUUGAUUCAUAGUUUGGCUGAGGGAGUUCACAUAGAUUUGUCUUCUCCUAAAGCUUCUGAAGAUCCUACAGCUAAUGGCAUCUUAAAUAUUGAAGAUAGUGAGCCUUCGGAUCUGGAGAAAUGGUCAGUCGAAUUCCCUGAUCUCCUGGAUGUUUUGUUAGCUGAGAAGAGGGUAGAUGAAGCUCUGGCAGCACUUGAUGAAGGACAGCAUGCGGUAGCCGAAGGGAAGGAAAAAAAUUCAUUGAGUCCUGAGGCAUUUGCAUCUCUAGAGACUGCCAUUAUAGAGCGCAAGCAAAAGUUGGCUGACCAGCUUGCUGAGGCUGCUUGUCAACCCUCUACACAUGGUGCUGAACUUCGUGCAGCAAUAUUAGCUCUUAAAAAGCUUGGUGAUGGACCACGUGCUCAUACUUUGCUCCUUAAUGCACAUUUCCAAAGAUAUCAAUAUAACAUGCUUAGCCUUCACCCAUCAAGUACCUCAUAUGGAGGAGCAUAUACUGCUGCUCUCUCACAGUUGGUGUUUUCUGCCAUUGCUCAAGCUGCUAGUGAUUCCAUGGGUAUUUUUGGUGAGGAACCUUCUUAUACUUCGGAGCUUGUAAUGUGGGCUACAAAGCAAACAGAGGCUUUUGCGCUUCUUGUUAAAAGACAUACAUUGGCUUCUUCAGCAGCUGCUGGUGGUCUAAGGGCUGCUGCAGAAUGUGUUCAGAUAGCUUUAGGUCAUUGCUCAUUGUUGGAAGCUCGUGGCUUGGCACUUUGUCCUGUGCUUUUGAGACUCUUUAGACCUAGUGUUGAGCAGGCGCUCAAUGCUAAUCUGAAAAGAAUUGAAGAAAGCACUGCAGCUUUGGCUGCUGCUGAUGAUUGGGUGCUAACCUACCCCCCAGGUGGUACUAGGCAAUCUGGCUGGUCCUCUAGUUUAUCCGUUGGUAAUACAACAAUAUUUCAACAUAAACUUACGAGUAGUGCUCAUCGAUUCAAUUCAAUGGUCCAGGUGAACCAUUUAAUUUAAUAUAAAUAUAUCUUUGUCUUUUGUGUUUGUUGUGGAUGAACAAAUAUUUUUCCUAAGAAGUGGUUCCUUCACAUGAUAAUUGGAAAUCAAAAUUUGCAACAUAAAAAUGCAGUUAAGAUGUUAGCCUUUUGACACCUAGUAUAUUUUUUAACCAUUUGAUCAUGCUGGUUUAGAACUUACUUUGGAAUAUUUAUUUUGUUCCUAUGUGGUUUUAACGAGUCUUUACCUCUCUCUUUAAAUGUUUUGGGAUUUCUUCUAAUAAAAAUUCACUGUGCUGUUAAUUUUUUUUCCUCCAAUACAAUCACCCUUUGACAUGGUUCCUUGCCUGUUUUCAACAAAGUGUUUCCCAACUGCCUGCCUAUCUGUCUCUUGUUUUGGUUGAUUAGUAUUUCUCAAAUUUUGAUAUGUCAAACUGCUAAUUAAUGUUGUUUGAUGCCAUUUUCUUUGAUAUGAUAUUUAUUGGUCUUUAUUGAGGUGUAUUAGUUCAUUUCAACUCCAGUAUUAUAUCUCACUUGGUUAACAGUCGGGGGGUUGUAGAUUGAUGUUUUAUGCACUUCUCUUUGUUCAUUUUGUCAUCUAAUGGGAUUUAAUCCUUUCAUUAAUUAUGACAUCUAUUCUGCUUCCUAUUGUAGGAUUUCUUCGAGGAUGUUGGACAACUAUUAAGCAUGGAGUUGGGAGGGCAAACACUGGAAGGUUUGUUUCGAGUGUUUGACUCGUAUGUAAAUAUGCUCAUUAAAGCAUUACCCGGUUUGAUGGAUGAAGAAGCGAACUUUGAGGAUACUGGAAAUAAAAUUGUUCGAAUGGCUGAGACUGAGGCCCAACAAAUUGCAUUGCUAGCAAAUGCAUCAUUGUUGGCAGAUGAACUUCUUCCACGAGCUGCCAUGAAGCUGUCCCCAAAUCUGGCUAGUUACAAGGAUGACCAAUGUAGAAGAACUUCAGAUAGGCAAAACCGUCAUCCUGAGCAACGAGAAUGGAAGAGGCGCCUUGUGAAUUCAGUUGAGAGACUAAAGAAUAAGUUUUGUCAACAACAUGCCCUAGAUCUCAUUUUCACAGAAGAGGGUGAUAGCCAUUUUACUGCAGAAAUGUACAUUAAUAUGGAUAGUACUACAGAUGAGGUGGAAUGGUUCCCAUCUCUAAUAUUUCAGGUGAUUUUGAUGAUUCUUUAUGUAUAUAUUUCAGAUGAAAUACAUUUUCUCUUCGUGCUUUGUUUAUUUAGUUUGAACAGGUUUCUUAAUUUACCACUCAACUUUGCUUUUAACAUCUCAUAGCACCUUGUUCAUAAGGUUAUAUUUCUUAUUUCUCACUUCAGAUUUUGAAAUCUUUGUCGAUUAAUAAUAACUGAUUUGUAUGUCAUACUUGAUGCAGCUUUUAUUCAAUGUUUUUAGUAUGUUGGUUAGAGAGUUCUCACAUGCUGGGAAAAACUGUUGUUUGCUGUAGUUUUGUUCUUGUUUAGGCUUUGUUAAUGGCCGUAGUUUAUGGUAUCAUAUUUGCAAAAUCCUAGUGAAUGAGGGAGGAGUCUUGGGAGCUCCAUGUAAAUACCUGUACAAAAUCAUGUUUUCUACUAGAUUUUGGGUAAACAAAACUACAAGGUAACAAAUGGAUCUUAGUCUCUUGCUUGCUCAUUCUCCUGUUUUUCUAUUAUUCUUUGAUUUUAUUUACAGUCUAGGUUUUGUAUGUUAGCAAGGGAUUCGCUCAUUUUUUUAUGUGCUUUUUUUCUUCAAUAUUGUUAUCGUUCAGGAACUCUAUGCAAAACUAAACAGAAUGGCUAGCCUGGCAGCAGAUAUGUUUGUAGGAAGGGAAAGAUUUGCUACAUCACUAUUGAUGCGGCUCACCGAAUCUGUCAUCAUAUGCCUUUCCGAAGAUCAAAGCUUUUGGGAUGAUAUUGAGGAAGGACCAAGACCUUUAGGUCCACUUGGAUUACAACAGGCAUGUAUUCUCAAUAUCUUUCUUCUUCCGUUUUUAAAUUUAUAUUAAAUUGUUAAAAAUCGGACUUCUUUUGUACAUGUGCAGCUGUAUUUGGAUAUAAAAUUCGUCAUAGGCUUUGCUUCCCAAGGUCGCUACCUAUCUAGGAAUUUGCAUAGAGUUGUCAAAGAAAUAAUCACUAAAGCAAUAGCUGCAUUUGCUGCUACCGGGAUGGAUCCAAAUAGGUAUGCUCUGAUAGUUAAUUUUCUUUUUAUUACGAGUUGUUUUCUCAUAAUUAUUCUCACCCUUAGGCUAUACAACUAAAAUGCUUGUAUAUUCUGAAUAAAUGCGCAAGUGUUGGCAGUGGCAUCGAAGCAUUCUGAUUUAUAUGUUAUUGUAUGUCAGCGUGCUGCCCAAUGACGACUGGUUCGACGAGAUAUGUCAAGAUUCAAUGGAAAGAUUAAGUGGAAAACCAAAACCCGAGCCCGAGCGGGCUCUAAACAGUCCCACCGCCUCGGUUUCAGCGCAAUCUAUCUCAUCUGUUAGAUCGCAUGGGAGUUACUAGCCAUUUCUUUAACCUUUGUACAUUUGACGGCUAACACAAUUGGUAAUGGAUCUCUCUUUCUUCUUCGUUUUUUUUUUUUUUUUUGACUAUUAUAAUCAUUUGUUGAAUGUAGUAAUAUACCUGCAUGGUCAUAAAGUUGGGGUUCCUUUGAUUUUUCUGCAUUCAUUAGUUUUUGUAAAUGUUUGUAAUUCUUUUAUACAAGUAUUAUUGGAAAUAAAUUCUGAUGAAAUAAAACGAAUUCAACCUCUUUUUAUAUAUAUAUAUAUAUACUUAUUGCAAUUUGAGUAGUCCGUUUGAUGUUGUAACUAAAAUCAUACAAAGGAAGGAGGUUAAUGUUUUGAAAAAUUAUGUCAGGAUAUUUAUACCUAAUUUAUUUAUUUUAUCUAUACAUUUCUAAAUUAGAUCCAAUUCAAUUAUAUUGAAUUAAAUUGAUUUCAAUAUGUAAUGAUAAUGAUCUCAAAUUAAAGGCAAAUUAAUUAUGCCUUUCAUGUAUUACCCAUAUUCUCGUAUCACACUAUAUGUUGUAGUGUAAAUGUUUAAAUAUUUUUGGUAGGUGGAUGUGUGCCGCACACUCCACAUUUUUAGUCACCCGAUCAAGCAUUCUUAUUCUAUUGAAUCACACCGGCUCUUCAUAAAAUCAAAUUGAAGAGUCUGCCAACUUCUCCCCAAAAAAUUGAAUCCCUCAAUAAUAAGCGAAGUAAUCAAGAAAAUAAAGGAGGAAAAAAUUGUACCUAUUGAUAGAGACAAAUGGACAUUAUUGAAUGAAAAAAGUAGAUAGUAUUCCCUUCAAAUUACGGAAUCAUAAUAAAAAAGUAGAAUUUCCAGCUAAUUUAUUAGCUCCGAUGUUUAGAUUUUCUAGGGAGUUUGGUGUUUAAGAGCUGCCUCACAACAUCUCUCAUUGCAGGUCUUCUGCUUGGUUCCUUUUCAGUACAUCUCAAAGCUACCAAAACCACAUUAAUAACCUGCUCCCUCACUUCCCAUUCCAUCAACUCAUCCACAAUCCUCGAAUCCACGAUCCUCUCGAUUUCGGUUUCGAUUUCACCGCUCAAAACUGAUCUGACCCACCCCACGAUAUCAGUCUCCCCCAUAAAUGAUGGAUCCAAUGCCCUCUUCCCGGUUAUCAGCUCGAGCAAAACCACCCCAUAGCUAUACACAUCCGCUUCUUUGCUCCAUGUUGUUCUGAAUGCAUUUUCUGUCAAAAACACAACCCCAUUUUAAUCAUUACAUGGAAUGUCAUCUUUAUAUUAAAAAAGAAGAAGAAGUUAAUUGCACCAGACAUACUCGAACUACGAUCAAAUUUGAAAAUUAGUCUUCAAAUUGAGUAUUUAAAUUAAAUAUCAUAAUUGAAUAAACCAAAAUUUUCCAUUGGUUUCAUUGAAUGGUUUGAACGUUAAAUCGCUAGCACUUGAGAUGUAGUAUAUUCAAAUAUGUGGAUCAAAUUGUGAACACAUGUGUACCUAUUACCUAAACAAAUUGGAUAUGCCGUGAUAAAAUAUUUACAAUUUGAUCCAUAUGUUUUAAAAAUGCGCUACGUUAAACCAAAUUGACAUUUAAUGCCUAUAUUGAUAAUUAAGUUGACAGAAGGACCUGAUUGGCUGAUUGAUUCAAUACUAAUACUUUAAGGAUGCAAUUAAAACAUUUUAAGUUUAAGGACCAAUUUAUAAUCUAAACAAUAGUUUGAGAAUGUUUGAUGCAAUCAACACUUUUAACAAAUUUGAAUCAAGGUCAAAGUUACUAUGCAUACCUGGAGCUAUAUAUCCAACCGUGCCCGCAACUACCAUAGACGGUUCGGAAGCCACAGACUCAUCAAGGAGCUUAGCAAUUCCAAAAUCGGAGAUGUGUGGUUCCAUAUCGGAGUCAAGGAGGAUGUUUUCUGGCUUGAUGUCUCGAUGAACUAUACCGGGAUCACAAUCAUAAUGGAGAUAUUCCAACCCAUGAGCCGUUCCUAGUGCUAUUCUAUACCGAGCACUCCAUUUCAGGAUUUGUACCUCAUUUGUUGUAUGAUCAUUAUUAUUAUGUAAAACAUCAUGUAGGCUCCCAUUUUGCAUGUACCUGUAUAAGAGUAAUCCAUAAUCUUUUCUCAACCAAAAAUCUUCUAAUCUCACCAGGUUUCGAUGCUUAACUUUCCCAAUAGUUUCGAUCUCUCGAACCAUGCUUUGGUUUCCUCCUUUAUGCUUUGCUACAUUGAUCCUUUUUACAGCAAAAUCACUCCCUGGACUCAAUGAUGCUCUAUAAACGACUCCAUGUGCUCCUCUGCCGAUAAUAUACCUCUCAUUUAAAUUCUCGGUAGCUUCCAUCACUUUGUUCAAUAAGUUCGAUGCGCCUUCUUCGACACAGACCUCAUGUUCUUGCUUUUUUAUCCUGCAGAAAAUGAAUAUCGAAGCCACAACUAGGAGUGCCACAACAAGUAGAGAUGAACCGAGGGCUAUCAUUGCAACUUCCAAUUUGGUAAGGCCCCUUUGAUUUUUCAUUUCAUUACAAGGAUUAAGGUAAUUUCUUGUAGGACAAGUUUCCUCACCUGAUGAAAGACAAUCAAUGCAUAACCCGGGAUUGCCGAGGAAAGAUGAUGAGGACAAGUUCAUGAAACGCAUCAUUGUUGUCGGUAUCGGACCAGUGAAGUGAUUGUAGGAAACAUUGACCUCAACCAAGGAAUCCAUUCCAUCAAGAACUGUUAAAGUCCCUGUUAGAUUGUUAUUAGAUAAAUCCAAUCUAACCAGCUUGAACAGAUUUCUUAGCUCCGAGGGAAUCUCUCCAGUCAAACUAUUGCUGCUCAAAUUCAAGCCAUAAAUCAGAUUCUUCAUAGCUCCAAUCGACGAAGGAAUACUACCACCAAAUGGAUUUCCCCCGAGCUGCAGGUCCGAAAGCAUUUCGAGUUCCAACAAGAAAGAAGGAAUGCCACCAGUAAAUCGGUUUUCACUCAGAAUAAGAGUUGACAGCUGUUUCCAGCUCGUCAAAGCAUUCGGAAUCAAACCAUUCAGCGAAUUAAACCCCACGUCGAACUCUACCAAUCUGCUACAAUUUGACAACUGAGAUGGCAAAGAACCUUGUAAAAGGUUGUGAGAAACAUUCAAAGUCUGAAGAUCUGCUAGGUUGCUUAACUCCGAAGGUAUAAAUCCCGUGAAGCGAUUCAUGGACAAAUUGAUAGAAGUAAGGUUUCUACAGUUCCCCAAGCUGGAUGGAAUUGGACCGGAGAUGUCAUUUUCACUAAUAUCCAUGUGUACAAGAUUUUUAUUCUCUGCAAACUCGGGCAGCACACCGUUGAGGUUAUUCUGCUUAAGGAUCAAUCUCCACAGAGUUUUACAGCCUCCGAUAUCAUCGGUUACACUGCCGGUAAGCUGAUUUUGACCCAAAUUCAACACCCUUAACUUCUUUCCAAAGCAAAGAAAUGGAGGGAUUGUACCACUGAACAUAUUGUUUGUGAAAUCCAACUGCUGUAAACUAGCAUUAAUCCCCAAAUUCCGAGGUAUGACCCCGAAGAAACCAUUAUCGUACAACGAAAUGUUUUUCAAUUGCUUGAACUCAGUGAUCUCUAAAGGCAAUUCCCCUGUUAGGUUGUUCUUAUAAACAAGUAAAUACUCUAAGCUUGGAAUCCUCCAAAUACUAAUAGGAAUCUCACCACUCAAAUGGUUCAUAAACAACUCAAGAUCAUUCAACUCACUUAACAUCCCUAAUUCAUUAGGGAUUUCACCUUUGAGUUGAUUAUCAUACAAUAAUAGCUGUUUCAAAGACUUACAUUUCCCAAGCUGAAAUGGGAUUUCACCAUAUAAAUGGUUUUCAGAAAGAUCAAGCUUUGAAAGCUGAUCUAAUAAGCCUAAUGAAGAAGGAAUAUAACCUGUUAAGUUACUAUGUACAAUAACCAGCUCAGUCAAGGUGCUACAAUUGGCUAACCCUGGUGGUAUCCCCCCAUUGAAACUAUUGAAUGAUAAAUCCAAAACACUCAAAUUUUUACACUUGGUAGGACUUGGGAUUUCACCAUUGAAACUAUUGUGACUCAAAUACAAAUACAUUAAGUUUUGGAGAUUCAUAACACUGGAAGGCAAACCCCCAACAAAAUAGUUCCCAUCUAAAAAAAGUUCUUGUAGUUUACUACAAUUCCCUAUUGACUCUGGUAUGGUACCUAUCAACCCAUUAUCAUACAAAUCUAAAGCUACAAGCUCGCUCAAGUUACCAACAUUCAUAGGUAUUGAACCACUCAAGUUGUUAUUAUUCAAAUACACGGACACCAAACCAGUAACAUGAAACAAUGUUUCUGGUAUUUCACCACUCAAGGAAUUGGAAAACAAGUUCAAGUAAUUCAGCUUUUGCAAGGAAUUGAAAGUAUUAGGCAUUGGUCCAAUGAGUUCAUUGUUAGACAAAUCCAAGUGUUGAAGGGAACUACAAUUGGCCAAAGCUGAGGGUAUUGGACCAAAGAACCUAUUGUUGCUCAAAUCAAGGGUGUUCAAAUGGUGUAAAGCACCAAUUUGAGGUGGCAAUUGGCCUGAAAUGGCUAAGUUUGUAAGGUUAAGAGUAAGGACAUCAUGGGUUUCAGAAUCACAUUCAACACCAACCCAUUUGCAUGGAUUUGGAUCAGAAGCAUUCCAUGAAGAGGUUAAAGAAGAAGGUAAGGAUGACCAGUGAGGUAACAAAGAAAACAGGGUUUCCCCAUUAGAAUUCAAAGCAUAAACAAAAAGACCAGUGUUUUGUUCUAAAAACAAGAAACACAAGAGCAAGGUUAAUGGAAAGAGAAAGUUACCUUUCAUUAUUCUCCUCCAAAGGGUAAGAAGGACAUAGAUUCUUACCUUUCUUAAUGCAUACUCUCUCAAUAUAUAUACACGCACGUAGCACGUAUGUAUGAACUGGAGAGUACAGAUGGGUGGAAAACUCACCAAGACCAAAGUCCAAGCAUUCAUUGACCAGCAGCAAUUUGAAGUGAAGAGAGACAAGACGAUAAUAAAUACAGAGGGAUAAUAUAAUUUUUCGCCCUCAACUUGGCGUCUAGCCCCACAUUGGUUUUUUUCUUUUUUUCACUUUUAACACUUGACUAGACAAUUUAGUUUAUUUUGUACUUUUGGAUAAGAAAGAAUAUAAAAGUUUGAUCACAUAGUAUUUUAAAAUUAUAUAAAUUUUGAUUUAUUUUAUAUCUUAUUAUCAUUUAAAAAUUUUAAAAAUUAUAUAAAUUAUCUGAUGAUGACGUAAUAUAAUCUUAAAAUAUCACAUUUAGUAUUUUAAUAAAUGAACCAAUAAUUGAAUCAAUCAAAAUACUAAUUUGUGAUUGAACCAAUUUGAUUGAUUUGACUAUUAGAGUAAUAAUAAGUAAUUAAAUAAUUAUAAAAAUUAAAAAACAUUAAAUCAAUUCAAUAUAUUUAAGUGUCUAUUUUUGUUUUAACUUUUUUUUUCAAUUUUUUACCAAUUUUAAAUAAUUUUCGAUUUAAUCUAUUUGUUUAAAUUGCAAUAUCUCAGUCCAACUAAUCAAUUUAAUUAUGUUUCAAUAACAUUGAUUAUAUCAUUAAAUCUUAACAAAAUUUAAUUUUAAAAAUUAAAAUAGAUCUAAUUAUUAAAUUUAAAUAUUAAAGUGAAUAAAAAAAAAAAGGUAGUUUUCAGUUACCAAAAAUUAUAUUAUAGGUAAUACAGAUAUUAUAGAAUUGGGUCAUCGUCAGAUAGCUGUAGAUCAUGUCAUGGGCGGGGGGCUUAGUGUGAAAUGGAAGAUACUUGCUUUGCUUUACCAUUUUUUCAACGCGGUUUCAGUUUCAAAGUGGCUGUGGGAAACGCAGCUUUUUAGUUAUAAAAUUAAUGAAACACUAGUGUUUUUAUAGUCUGUGUAAGGGAGAAGUGACGUUACCCUGCACUCUGUAAAACAUAUUAAAUGUCAUCCCCCUGCAAUUCCAUUUUCCAUUGUUUGCCACUUGGCAAGCCUCCUGCUUUUCUUUUUUUAAAGAGAAAAUUUAGGCAAAGCCGAUUCCCUUUUUUAUGAUUUUAAGUCGUAUUAUUAUUUAAUUUAGGCAAUCCUUUUUGGUCCCAUUUUUUUUUUAACAAGUACAUACCAACUUAUACAAGAUUAGUACAAUAUUUUAAUAUUUUAAAUUUAUUUUUAUAAUUACAUUUAAAGGUAAAAAAACAAUCAUUUGAUCAAAUUAUGAAAGAUAACUAAUAAUUUUAAAAUUAAUUUUUCAUAUAUGUGCAAUUAAAAAUUAUUUUCUUGUAUAUAUAAUAUAAACGAAAAAUAUAAAUAAAUCUAAAAUAGUAUAUUAAAAAAAUGUCUCAAAACACAUACAUGGAAUUGAGUUGGAUUUAGAUAGAUUUAACAUUGAUUUAUGUAAAAUCAGUGGAUGCUGAGAGGGAUAGGCCCUUUAAAAAGGUGAGUUAGAUGAGUUGUAAAGCUAUACAAUCAUUUAUCCACUUAAAGCCAAAUCUCUAGAUUAUUCUUAUUAAAUUUAAAUUCUUCUAUCCUAAAAAAAGUUCUUCUAGUAAAUUGAGCUUUUCAAGAGUCAAAAGAUUUAUAAUUUUGUCAUCACUUACUUCUAGUAAAGGAAAAAAAAUCUAAUUAGACAAGUUUCCAUUAUUUACAUACAACUAUGUCCCAAAAAGAAAUUAUUUAUAUACAACUUGUCUAAUUAGAGAUAAUUGAAAGUCUUAUAAAGAAAAUAAAAUUGUUUCAAGCACCCAUAUUAAUGCUUGUGGUUCGUGGAUAACAAGCUUUAAAGAUUCUUUAUUUCUUUUAUUGAAUUAUAUUGAUGCUAGUGAUGCUCUUAAUUUGAGUUUGAGGUAUAAAUUUAUCUAUGAUUUGAGUCACUCUAACUCAAAAAUUUAUUCAAAAAUCUAAGAAUUUAAAUAAAAAUAUAAAUCUUAAAAAUAAUUUUGAAUAAAAAAAUAAAACCCAUUUAAAAAAAACAAAUCGAGUUUCAAGCCCAAAUUUACAACAAAAAAAUUGUUUUAUUAUUAUUUUCUCAUCAUUUUACUCUCAUCUCACUAUUAUAUUCUUAUUUUUAAAUAUUAUAUAAUUCAUAUUUUAUUGUUAAUUUUGUUAUUUAUUAAACUCUCGAAUUCUGAAUUUUAAUAGUUUAGGUUGAAAUCAAUUAGGCUUAUAGCUCAAUUCUCAAACUUAAGUUCAAAUCAUUCAAAAUUUUAAUGAAUCCAAGUUUUGAAUUACUUCAAAUUAAAAAGCUCAGAUAUGUUUUCAAAUUAGAAUCUUUUUUUAAAACAAAUUAUUAUUAGACUUUUAACUAUAAAAUCCAUGAUUUGACCACAAAUAGCAGGUGAGCGAGCAAAGCAUACAUGAAAUCAAGAGUUAUGUGAGCUUCGCAUACUCCACUAUAAUACUGAACAACUCUACAAAGCUAAAACAGUCGUAAAUUAUUGUACUUCUAUUGUAACCAAAGGAUAAAAGAAUAACCAGUCAACCACUGUUAGAAAAUUUUUAUUAACUUCUCUCUCUUUUUACCAUUUUUCAUUUCCUUUCACAGUGCACUACGCUACACUAAGCUACACUAAUGUUCUGCAUAAAAAAACCCCAAGUAAAUAAAAAGACCAGGGGCCUCCCUAAGGAAUUGACUGCCAAAAAGAACACAGUUAUGUUCCUUUUGACCAAAACAUUAAAAAAUAAUAUAUAUUGCAAUUAUUUACUUCCAAGUGCUGUCAGCUAAUCAUCCACAUAUGGAUGUUUUCGCUUUUGACUCUUUGACUAAUACUAGAAGUUGCAUGGUUCAGACCCUGUAAUUGUCAUCUCUUUCUCCAUUUAUAAAAUUUGUACCCAAAUGAAAAAAAAAAAAUCUAAAAGGUUACCUGAAACAAAACAUCAGCUGAAGCACUGUUUACCUCAAGCAGAGUAGCUUAUCCUGCAUAUAUAUGUAUAUAUAUAUCAUAGACGCUUAUAUCUAUCAAGCCCUAAAAGUUCAAAAGAUGAUUAUCAUCCUUUCACUUCAAUGGAAUAAAUGGUGUCAAUGGCUAUGGCAAUGGUUAUGCUUCCCUACAUUUUCUCAGAUAAUAAUAGUGCCAUGAUAUGAAAAUCUGGAUUUUCUUCAAAUGAAAUGUUAUUGAUGUAGUGUAUUUUGACCGUAGAGGCAUAUAUACUUCCGAAUAGUUCCUAUAAAUCUUAUGUUUUGAAGACCCCUAAUAUGUUAAAAAGCAUGGCAAUCAUCAUUUUUCAGUUUACCGAAACAAAUAGUGCCUAUUGGCCAUGGCAAUGGUGCUAACAAUUCCAUCUAUAGAAUGAAAAAAUGGGAUGGUUUUCUGCGCUGUUUACUUCAAGAUAGUGCCAUGCACUGAAUGUCAUGUUAGUAAUGUGAUGUAAAUGGAUCAACCCCAGAUGUAUGCUGCGUGAUAUAGAGCAUCGGUAGUAGUCCAGUAUCAUGGAAUGGUCAAUGUUCAAUAUGAGGUGGAAUAGCACACAAAUUAACCAAACCUGUAGAUAAUGCACUACUUCUAAAUAAUAUUAAAGUUAUCUGAAAAGCCUAUAAAGUUAACCAGGCAUAACAAAUGCUGCAGACACAUGCAUGUCUUAGGUAAAUUCAAAUAAACAUGAGCAAAUGGUGUGUUCAUGAUACCGCUAUGUGCAUUCAAAGACAUGAGAAGGGAUGAUAAUGCCGAUGGUGACAAUGAAAUGGGUGCAUGCAAUAGCUGCAUGAUGCAUCCUAGCAUGUAGCAGUUGUAUUUGUUGGAGCAUAUAAAGAGAACAUCCCCUCAUCUACUGGUAAGUCAUAGCUAGUGGAGCCCCAUUGGCACCAGGAGAAGCAAUGGGAUGAUUGGAGUCUUUCCUUUUACCGAAAGGAUUCUUGGAAUAUCUAUGAUCAAGUCAAGAAAGACAACCAUGUUUCACCGAAGCAUUUAUGUAGUAAAGUUACAGAUGAAACAUGUAAAGCUAAUUACAUAAUUUCAUUAUGUUCAUAUAAAGCUUAAUGUGGAGUCCCUUUAUUUUCUAAUUUUAUUCAUUGGCAUUCAACAUUAUAAAACCGUAGAUAUACAUACCAAAAAGAAUCAAAGAAUUCUCUACCUAACCACACUCUUUUUAGAGAUUGAAGUUAUAAGAAUCAAGAUUUGCCAUUAAAAAACCAAUCUUCACAAAAACAAUUGUGGAAAUAUCACCUUUUAACCCACAUUGAGAUGCCGAGAAGCAGUAGAAGUGGUAAUUAUUAGGUAGAAAACCUAUCUGGAUUGUGCAACAGACAUGAAUCAAGCCACAAGCCCAUACACAUCACAUGUAUAAAACACCACUAUAUAUGCAAUAGUUGCCAUACCAAAGAAACAAAGCAAAGGAAAACAAGAACAUUUAAAACAGUAAAGCCACAAAUGCAAAAAGGAUACUGUAUUCGCAUGCCAAUAGAACCAGAACUAGGGAUCACAGCACCCUGCAAACUGUGGUGCACAUUACUUGCAGAAUUCACAUCCUGCAAAUUGGGGAAACAAACACUAAGCUUAAGAAUGAAAACCCAAGAAAAUUGCAUUCGAUGAAUAACUGGUUACAUCCAGGUGGGUUAAGAGAAGAAAGGAACUUACUUCAAACUCUAUAAAGCAAACAGUAUGCCUUUCUUGUCUCAAGAUCUUCAUUUGCUUAAAACCAGGUUGACUGCAUAAAGCAUAAGUACGAAAUAAACCAGGAUGUCAUCAGAUAUCAACCCAAAUUCACACAAAUAAAAUUGACCAUUAAAGUAGCCAGAGGCUAAGAUGUUCUUACGCGCUAAAUAAGCCCCGUAGUUCUUCCUCAUUAAUAUUCUCUCCAAGAUUGCCAAUAAAUAAGGUAUUGCAAGGAGGGUUAUCUUUGGUGUUCUGCCAAUCAAAGAUAGUUUCAUUUAGUGCCAGAAAAAAAACAUAUAAAGGAUGCUGCAUCCCAAGAUUUCCCAGAAGGAAUGAGAAAAAGUCCAGCAAGCCAACUAUAAACGACCAAUAAAAAAUUAUACUAAAUCUAAACCAAAGGAGAAAGUGGCACGUGGAGCGUAGAAAUUACCUGAACAGGCACAUAACUGCUAGGAGCUGGUACAGGAGCAGGGGUAGGCAUUGGCACUGGAGGAACAGGAUAACCUCCAUAAGGAUCAUAUGGAGGAGUUGGAGAUAAAUACCUAUGCCAAAUACAAAAGCGUUCAACUUAACAAGCAAUGCUGUACCUACACCUUAAACUAUCUAUGACUAAGCAAACUAGACCAUAGCAUAGCAGUAUCCAACAUCCUGACAUAGCUUCUUACCCGUGUGGGCCCCAAACAGGGGCAGGAGGAGGGUGAAACGGAGGUGGAGUAGUAUAAGCACUGUGUGAAUAAUCGCCACCAGUUCGCAAACGUUUGCUUUGAUCAUACGAAUUAGAAUCUGCUACAAUUCCUACAGAAUAAAUAUCAACAAAGUAAAAGAAUGAUCUUUUACAUAAAUAGAUUCCUACAGAAUCUGCUACAAAGCUCUCCCUGUAAUAACAAAGACAAAUUAACAAGGAUACAUUUUUUGUACUCUCCUUACAAAUAUGAUUUAAAACACUUCCUUUCAAAAACCAAUAAUUGUAUCUAUUUUUUCUCUAUUUCAAAACUACACAUUCAGUUGCUUUUAUUCCCUCUUCUGUAUAUUUAGAUAUGGAUCAUUUUCUUAAUAUUUACUUGAUAAAAUUACUUAUCAUUUCACCCACAAAAUGGGUUGCCAAGGACUGGUAUUUAUUUCCUUCUCUUCAACAGUUCCUCUUCUUGUCAUGGUCUGAAUUGUAAAGCCCGAUUACAAAUACAGGAGGAAUUUAAAGAGCAGACCUCUAGAACCAAUUGACUCAAUCCUUUUCUGUUCUUUGAACCAUCAUCUCAUUGUCUUCUAUACUUCAGGAUCAUUAGGAACAACUUUACGUAUUUUGCAUUACUUUAUCUCCAGAUUAAAACAUUUUUUGUCUGCAUGUCUCCAUGCAAGCCUUUUUUCAAAUUUGGCAUGAUACAAGGUGUUAAAGAUGACUCACCUCUUUUAACAAAUAGAUUCUUCUUCGCCAUCUCUAUGUGCAAUACCGAUUUUGACUCAGCAUCAAAAACCAUUUCCUAAUACCCCCCAGCAUCAGACAAAAUCAGUGCUUUGAAAAGGAUGACAUAUCUUAGAUGACUAAAUAAAACCGGAAGUUAAAUACAUUUAUAAAUACCUGAAGGGCAUCUUUGGCAGCAAUUGCGAGUUGUGCACUUGAGAAGAGAGCAAAACCCAUAGGUUUUUCUCCCUUGUAGUUCACCUGCGAAGCUUCAUACCCUGGAAGCCAUCUCAGUAAAUUCUGUAGCUCUCUCUCUUUGACGUCUUCAGGAAGACCAGUAAUGAAGAUAGUCCGAACCUGGAUCCAGAACAAGUAUUAAUAUUAUUUUUCGAUAUACAAGGAAAAAGCAGCAAACUUGUACAUGCAAAGUACAAAUGCAUGCACAACAAACAUUUGUAGACACCAGAGUUACCUAAUUUGGUUAAUCCCAUUCAAAUUGCAAACCAAAUUGAUUAUGAUGUUCUAGAUAUUAUGUUAAGAAUGGGAACCUUUUCUUUUUAUGGAUGAUUAUCGAAAAUCCAUUUAAAAAGUUAAUUGAAUCUUCUUUAAAGACAAAAGUUAAUAAUUUUUUAAAUAACACAAAAUAAUGAAUGCAUGAAAAAAAAAGUAAUUGCAACCUUCUAUGCUCCAAAGAAUCGAAUUUCUUUCCUUCUAAAUGAAUCAAGUACCACAUUUAUCGUACCAUUUUUUUUUAAUAAAUAGUUAACUAUGUUUUAGUUAUCUAUCUGCAAACCAAAUUGAUCUGCGUUGCAGGUAACUCUGAUACAGUCAUAUAACUACCUAAUAACCACAUAUAUACAAAAAACAAUUCUUAUUUAGCUCUUACUUCAUCUUAUUUUCAGCUUCUUCCACCAAUGUUACUAAAAAAGAAAUGAAAAAAAAAUCUUUCACCAGAACAUAACCAAAUAAUUGAACUGUUGUAAAUUGUAAUGCAAAUUCAAUUAGAAUCGUUCAUUAAAGAAACAAAAUCUUUGAAUGGUAUAUGUUUUUAGUCACAGAAAUGAGUUUUUUAUUGUCAAUUAUAAAAGUUAUUAUUUUAAUCUUGGAAAAGAAAAAAGCAAGCUCAAAAAGAAAACCAAAUAUUAAAGAGAGAAACGAUGGAAUCUAAAAAGAUAAGCAGAGCAAAAAGAAACUAUUAUAUUUGCAGAUUCUCAAAGAAAACUCAGAGAGAGAGAGGCAAUUAGGGUUCUGUCACCAUCAAAUCGUGCAAUUAAGGCUCAGAAACUAAGUCUUGAAAAAGAAAAAAAAAGGAGGAGGUAGAGUAAAUGGAGUGAGAGAGAUUUGACCUCAUCAUGAGAAGAAACGGGUGGAGGAUGGUGGACAGGAGGAGGCGGUGGAGGAACCGCUGUUGCUGUGGCUGGAGGGGGCGGAGGAGCUGGUGCCGGCGGCCACUGCUGGUGAUAAGGGUGGAUUCCAGCACCCGCCAUGUCUAUAUCUCGAUAGAAAGUAGAAACCUGAAACCCUAAACCAAUACUCGACGUUCAAGAGAGAAAGAAAGAACAAACUACGAACCCAAAAGAAUGAUACGAUAAUGGAAAGGAAACCCAAGAAAUAUAGCCUUUUUAUUUUGUUUAUUUAUUUGAAUAGAUUUAAUUACAAUCACAAAUCUAAAUAAUAAAUAAUACAGGUCCAAUUAAUUAUAAUAAUUUCAAUAUUAAAAUGAAAAUAAAUCUCAACAUUUCUCUCGAAUGAUGAGAUUCAAAUCUCAAUGUCGACUUAAUUUGAGAGAUGAGACUCGAAUUUAUUAAUUAAAAUGCAUAUUUUUUUAGCACAAUUAUUUUGUUCACGGCCAACAAAUAAAUUUAAAAUAAUAUCGUUAGCGCGGAAUGAGUUUUACUUUGAUUAGUAUAGAGAUUAGUUUUGAAUUGAUUAGAUCAAAAAUCUGUAUAAAUCAAUUGAACUGGAUAAAAAUUGAUCAAACUGGUAAUCAAACUAGUUAAACUGACAAUUGAACCAAUUUUUUAAAAAGGUAAUUUUUUAAAUUUUUAAUAAUUUUUUAACAGGACCGGUGACUUGACAAAUUCAACCACCAAUAAAAUUUAAAAAACAUUGAUGCAUUUGAUAGUUUUAGGCAUCGUUUCAAAAGCAACAUCGUCAUUGGUAAUAGGCAAUUAUAAUCACUUAUAUGUAACAAUUUUAGUAUGGCAUAUGUAGGUAAAAGUAUUAUAGAGGUUAUUAUAUUAAGAGUAAAAUUACAUUUUAUUCUAUUUACUCAAAAAUGAGUAAAUUAGUCUUAAUUCUACAAAUCAAAUAGUAAAUCAAUCUUUUAUGUUAAAAGUUUAAUCAAUUUUUACUAUUAAAAACUAGUCUGAUUAAUGAAAUAACUAAGCAAUUACAUCUGACGUGCCACAUGCACUUUAUGUUGACGUACAAUGAUCAGUUUGUAAUAGUAAUGAGAUUUUUAAUAGAAAUGAUUAAUUUGCUCUUUGACGUAACACAUAGGGACCCAUUUGAUAUUAUUUUAAUAGAUUGAGUAAAAUGUAAUCUGACUUUUAAUACAAAGAACUCCAUAAUAUCUAUACCAACAUUAAAGAAAUUUAGUGUGAAUGCACACAUGGUUGAUAGUAAUCCAAUUAAUGUCAUAAUUAAAUUAAUUAAAUCAAUAAAUUAUAAUUUAAUUAAUUUGAUUGUGGGUUGAAUCUAAAACUAAACAAUAAAUAUAAAUAAAUAAUAAUCUAAACAUUUAUCUUAUAAAUUAUAACAACAAAAAAAUAUUUAAAUUAAUUUCAAUCAGAUUUUGAGAAAUUUACUUUAAAAAAGUUUUUUUUUUUUUUAAAUCAGAGCUGAAAAUUUAUUUUUAUAACUUAGAAUGGAGGAAAAAAAUUGACCUGAUUGCCACUAAACAUGACAAGAAUUCUUAUUUUUUAAACAAUCUUAUUGUAAAUUCUAUUCCUUUUUACAUAAAGUGUUUAGAACUUAUAAAUAGGAGGAUAAUGUGCUUCAGUACACUCGAUCUCACAUCUUAUUACAUUGACAACAAUACCUAUACUAAUCAAAUUAGGAUAAGAAUUAUUUAAUACACGAAAUAGUAGUGUUAAUGAAUAAAUAAUGUACAAUACAUCAAUUAAAUUACAUAAUAUGUAAAUAUCGAGGGUUAAAAUUUUCUAAAAUCAACAUUAAAUUUAUAUAAUUUAUAAAUAUUAAGGUUCAAAAUUAUUAUUAUACCUUUUUUAAAAGAUGCUAUCGUUAACCAACUAUAACAACAGCAGAUAAAAUCAUAUAAUUCACUGAUAAUUUUGUAAUUUUUUUAUAAUUAAAUAACUAUUUUUUUUUAUAAUUUGAUGGAAAAAAAAUACUAAUAAUUAUAAUUAUCCAAGAAAAAUAAUACCCUCACUAGUUUCUUCCGCUCCAUUUCAUUCAAAGAAGGAUAGCAAUUUCAUAUAUAACAUAUACAUGCAUAUACAUAUAUAAUGAAUUUAAAAAAAAAAAGUGUACAAUGAAUGCGUUAAUGGAGGGAAAACGAUCGAUAAGGGUGGGUCGCCGCCCGGCUGUGAGACGAUACACAAUCCCGACGUGUUAAGACGAUGUUGCAACUACUUCUUCUUGUUGACGCCGUCUUCUAAGUUCACCCUCGAGAACGUUCUUUGCCGCCUCCGCCGUCAUCGCCGAUUUCUCCGCCAUCUCUGUCGCGGCCUUGAUUUCCUCAAUUGCCUGCAAAUUCUCUUCCGCCUUCUCAUCCGCUUCGUUUUUGCUCGCGUUUAUCGCUUCCAGCUCCGCCAUUGCAGCAGCUAUUUUCUGCUCCGAUGAAUUCCCAUACUCCUCUACUUUCUUUUUCAACGCUUCGAAUUCUUCUUUGGAUAUCUUUAUCUUUCCCCUACCGGUCCCCUCUUCUAAUAGCCGCAUUUCGUCGAGCGCCUUCUUCUCCGCCGCUUUCGCUUCCUCGGCUUGUUGUAAAGCGAGCUCUAGCUUUUGCUUUAAGUCCUUCACUGCCGUUUCAGCCUCUUCGGCUUCUUUCUUCAGAAUUUCCAUGUUCUUCUUCAUCUGUUGAGUUUCAUUUCUAGCAUUCUCUGUUUCUAAUAAAAGCUGUUGAAGCCUAAUGUUAUGAUCAGCACUAAGAGCUUCUUUUUCACUUUCAUUUCGGAUCUUCAUUUCACUCUCUCGUUGUUGCCUCUUCACCUCUUCAAGUUCCAUCCUAAUGGAGCUCACUAAAUUCCGAAGGGAACACUCUUCGUCGGCCACCAUUUGCAGCAUUGUCGUAGCUUCGUUAAGUUCCGAUGUCAAAACCCUAACGGAAUCCAUUUCCAUAGCAUGAACUUUCUUCAUCUCAUCUUGCAACGCUUCGACCUCCUCCGUGGUUUCCUUAAGCUUCUCCUCCAGAGAUCUCGCUAGCUCUGGAUCAUACGCCUCCCUCGCAGCCUUCAAUUUCUUCUCCGCUUCCUCUUUAGCACUCUCAUAAGAUUUCUGCAACAUUUCUUUAUCCACCGCUAUGCUCUCCUGCUCUUUGUACACUUGUUGCGUAGCGAAUUUCACUUGCUUAAUCGCUUCCUUCAUCACCGUGAUUUGCUUCGUCAGCUCGGUAACCCUCUCGGAAUGCAUUUUUGCCGAGAGCUGCGCCUCCGCCGCCUGCUGAAACGCCGCCAAUUUCACUUCCAACGCCGUGUCGAAAUCCUGCCUGAUUUUAUUCAGCUCUUGCUUCUUGGCAUCGAGUUCCGUCGCGACGGCGAUGUAUUGCUCCCUCGCUGACUCCAACUCCUUCUUCCUCACCUCGCAUUCUUGGUUGUUCUGCGGUUUCUGGAAUUCAAGUUGAGUGCCUUGUUCCCUCACCGCUUCGGUCGCUUCGAUCGCCGAUUGCUUCGACUCCGUCACCGCUUUGAGUUUCUCGGCCAAAUCCUGCAACGUUUUCUUCGCGCUUUCGAGCUCAGAUUCCGCUUUCGCCUUCGUAGCUUCGGCGCUCUCUAGCUUUUGCUUCAUGUUGUUGAACUCUUUCUCUGCUAGAAGAAGCUGCGUCUCUUUGUCUAUUACAUUCUGCAAAACAUAAAUUAUUCGUAAGUAAUCACAGCUUAAUCCUACUGAUAAUAAAUUAGGGUAUAAAUCUGAUUUUAGUCCCUAUGAAAUUUCAUCUUUCUACUUUAAUUGGUCAAAUUCUAUAAAAGAUCCCUGUUCUAUGCAUUCGUUUUGUAGGUUUAGUCCUUCUACUAUUAUUUGAUUCCAUUAAUUCCUUCAAACAAUUUGAGGUGACUUAUUUUUAACAUCCGGUGUUGUAGUGUAUGCAUAUUGGCAUAUUUUUUCAGAUGAAUAUUAUACAUUUUUCUCUUUGAUGAAAUUGAUGGAAAAGAAGAGUUAGCUUUAGAAUUAAAAUUACACAUUUUGAAAAGUAGAUGUACUAGAAUGAUCAAAUUACUGUAAAUGGACUAAAUCCGGACCUUUUAUAGAAUUUUACCAUUUUAAUUUAGCACAAUUGUCCCCUUCUAGUUUAAUAAUGUUACUAAUAGGUACAAAUUGAUAAUACUUCGGUUGUUGCCAUUAGUAAUGAUAUGAAGAUUUUCUAUAGUGUCAUUCGAUCACACGAUCAAAAUGCUUAAGGUUGUUUCUAUGUCAUAACUUUAAUGAUAAUAACUAAUGGGUUUUAUCAGUUGCAAUUAAUGGAGGGACUAAAAAUAUAAUUAAACCGCUGCAUUUUUUUUCAAAAAACAUUGGUUACCUCUGAAGAAAUUCUUGAUCUUCUGGGAGUGCGUCUUUCCUUGGUGACGGCUACUUCUCCAAAUAAACUAACGGCAGCUUUGACGGAUUGAAAUGGUGCUGUGGUAUCAAUCUCUCCUACCUCUGCCUUUGGUGAACCUGAACCAGAGGAUUUUGGGAUGCGUUCGCUGAUGGCCCGGCGGUAAAUGUUCACCAUUUUUUCUCUGUCUUCCCUCUUUUUCUUGGAAAUUUAUUCACCUGCGCAUCAUGUCAUCGUUCCAUCAAUACGUGCAUACAUACAUACAUACAUACAUACAUGCAUGUAUCACUACCAUCUACAAUCAACUGACAUUGAUGUCAAGUAAGAACUUAGCAGUUAAUAGUGAUCAUAUUCUGGUUUUGUUCCUUCUAUCAUGUUAAUCUAAAUUUAUUCUCUUCAUUAAUUUGACAUAAUUUAAUCCCCUAAUUCUAUAUGAUCAUUAAUUAUAUUUAGUUAGCAUUGAAAUAAUUAAUGGUAUUAAUUAUUUGGACCAAUAAAUUACAUUAUAAAUGAAAAAUAAUAUAGGGAAUAAAUCUUAAAUACGAGGGACCUCUAGCAGUAGAUAUCAUGGAUGAAUAUAUGCCCAGGCCCUAAAUUGGUGUAGGUGUUGCAAAGGAUGCUCAUAUUAUUCAACAAAAACCUUGUUUCUUUCUUCGUUUCUUUUUCCCCUUCAUCAGGCCGACCACAUUGGAUGCAUGUUUGUGUAUUACCAUAUGCAAAUAAUUCAUACAUACAUCCAUGCCUGCCUACAACAUCUUAAGUUAAAACUAAAUAAUGUUAUCACCACAUACAAUCAACUGACAGAAAAUGCUCACAAUUUAUGCAUACAUGCAUGCAUAAAUGAGAUGACUUGAGUGAAACAUACCAGAGGGUGCUUAGAAAAGAUAGCAAAUAGAUGCAUACAUGCUUACAUGCAUGCCUACAACCUGUAAGCUAAAACUAAAACAAUAUCAUCACCACAUACGCUCAACAUGCAUGCAUAAAUGAGAUGAUAUGAUUGAAAAUAGAUUGGAAAGGAACCUGACCGGGUGAGGAUACGUUGAAGAGGAGAAAAUGAUGAAAGAUUGGAAAAGGAAAAGAAAAAAUGGAAGCCUUGAAACUAAACUUGAAAUGGAACUUAUGGGGGGAGUGGGUAAGGAUGAAAGGAAAUGAUGCCCAAAAUGAGAGGUAGAGAGGUUUGGGGUAUUAUUUUGGAAGAGAGACCCCGAAGGUUUGCGGGAUUUGAAUGGUUAAAACUUUUGAAAAAUAAAUAAAGGUCAUUACAUGCCACCCUCAUAGCCUCCCCUACUGCCACAUACUAAACUAUGCAAUGAUAAUUUUGGUGGAAAUAAGUUGUUGACUUGCUGUUUCAAUCCUUAAAACCAAUGGAUAUUAUCAUGUAUCUUUUGUUUGACCAUUUCCAUGCAUGCAUGCAUGCGUGUAUGUAUGUGUGUAUGUAUUUAGCCUGCCAUGCUGUAACACAACUCACUUCUCUCACGUUAGUGCUUUCCGAACAAUAUUAUCAUUUAGUUGUAUAUUUGAUAUAAUGAUAAUGGAUAAUAUAGUGUUUGGAAACAUCUAUUUUUUAUGGUGUAUAGAAGGGACCCUUUUUAAAUUUAUACACAUGAAAUUUAGUCUAUUUGGUAUAUAAACUUUGAUUUACUGUAAUUAUACAUAUAAACUUUGAUUUGGUUCAAUUGUACACAUAAAAUUUUGAUCUUGAUUUAAUUGUAAACAAUUUUUAAAGAUACAUAUAUUUAUUUUCAUGUUAGGUUAAUAUAGUUAUCUGUAUAUAUAAUAUAUAAAUGUAAAAUGAUGUUACAACAAUAGCAUUGUUAGUGAUUUAUAAAAAUUAAAUCAAUUCAAAAUUUCAUGUAUAUAAUUGCACAAAAUCAAAAUCUAUGUAUCACAUUGAACAUUUAACUAAAGUUUGUAUAUAAUUUUGAUAUUUAUCCCUAUAUAGAAUCAUGCAUUAUCAAUUUAUCAAAUAUGAACAUUUUUGUCUUACCUUCUUUAUUUUUAUUUAUUUAUAAUUAAUUAAGAUUUACAUCAUUAAAGGUGCUCAUGGAUCGAAUUAGAUAAAGGUGCUCAUGGAUCGAAUUAGAUCAAGAUUAAAUUGCACAACCUAACCCAUUAAAAUAAACUUGUUUUACUAUUUAAAAAACAUAUUUUUAAGUUUAAAUAUAUAAAAAUUAAUAUAGAGCUAUUUUUAUAUUUUUUAUUAUUUUAAACGGGAUUAAAAUUUUAAAUCCUUGAUUCAAAUCCAACCCAGACAGACCACGUGGAUUAUAGAUUAAUUAAUUGGUUCGGAGAGUAAUAGAUCACUUAGGGUUGUUAGAUAAUUCAUAAUUUUAGAUGUACCAUUCUAUUAACACGGUGUUGAUUUUUUGUUGUACGAGAUAUGCUUUAAGCAUAUAAUUAAAAUAAAUCUCAAAAUUACACAAAUUUUAAUUUAAUAUACAAAAUAGCUUACAGCUUUGAGAAUUUAUCCCUUAAAUAUUGAUAUUCAAUAGAUUGAUAAAUACAGUAAAACUAUAGUCAAGCUAGCUUACUUGCAACAAAUGCAUAGCUAAGCUAAGACAGCUACAUCCAUUAUUGAUGCAUCAUCAUGCAUGGAUGUACACAAAAUUGGGAUCUAAGAUCCAACAACACGGGCAUUCAGACCUUCCAAACCAAAAUCCAGUGCUAACCAAUUCAUACAUAUUCACUCCUGCAGAACAAGCCUAAAGGUGAGAUUAAUUCGAGUCGUCUCUGCCUUUGCACGCUUAGGCACAGAGUGUAACCAGUCACGCUGAGUGUUCCCUCUCAUUACCAACAGAGAUCCGUGCUUGAGCAUGAACGAGUGUUGAUCAUCUUGGCUGCUCUUACUAGACCUCUUCAAUGGAGGUUUGUCAUCAGAUCUUCUCUCUAGCACAUUCACAACAAAAACAAACAUCAAUGGAAGUAAUAUUAAAAACCCAGUUUUCUACAAGGUUCAAGGAGGGCAAGCUUUUGCACCUUGGGAUGAUUUGCCACUUUUCUUCUUCAGGAUAAAAUCCCGUUCGCAUCCAAAGGAAACAGAAGCAAUUUCCGGGGUUGAUCCAUAGAGCUUCUCAUCAUCACUAUGCCAACCUACAUAGUCGUUACCCCCCUUUAUACCGAUUUAAAAGCAAGCUGUUAAAUGUACUGCCAGGAAGCAUUUUAUGGACCUUAAGAAGACAAGCAAAGACAUUAGAUCGUACUAGAGAAGGAACUAGGAAAACACAAGUGAGGUGAGAUGACCGCAUACUUACCGCAUCCAAAAUGUCCUCAAGUGGGGGGAAAUUAUCCCAAGAAUGAGCAUGAGGCUGAUAUCCACUGUAAAUCAAGUCCGGCAACCCUGCACUUGCAACAUAACAUGUGUCUCUAGGCUGCGUGCAUAAGGGAAUAUGCAAAUUUCAACAGGAGAAAAAGAUAACAUGAGUUGUUAGUGGAAAUCAUGCAUGUUAAAAGGUAUCAUAUUACCAACAAUCCAUGCUUAAAAGAACAUGCGUUUUCUCUAAGGCAAAUCUAUAUCGGUUUGUUUACAUACCCAUCAAUACAAAACUGAAAUGGUGAUCCUAUGCAUGUUAAAAGCUUGCAUUACCAACCAUCCAUGCUUAACAAACAUGCCUUUUUCUCAAAGGGAAAUCAAUAUCAGUUUGUUUAUGUACCCAUCACUACAACAAACUCAAAAACUGUAGCGAUCAUCAUCAAGAUAAAGAAUUGUUCAAAGUUGAAUUAGAUGAUGAUACCAAACUAACAAUUUCGAAGGCAACAUUGAGAAAAAUACAAUAAAAAGGCAAAACAGGGUCAUGCAUAACCAACACAAAAAGGGAGCCUAUACCAUUACUCUUUUACCUGCCACUACCAAACAAAGUAAAACAUUCCAAUCUAAUAAGUGAUGAAACUAAACUACCAAUGCCUGUUGAAUCGAGUAGCAAGGAAAGCCCAAUGCCCCAUAAAAUAAGGUUUUAGGUUGUGUCCUGCCUUGCCUCCUAAAAUGAAGUCCUACCCGACUCGACUUUGAAUUUAGUCAUGACCCUUGUCACUUCACAAUACCAAAGGUCAAACAACCCCCCCCCCCCAAAAAAAAAAACCAAAAUAGAACACUAAACUAAAUAGCUAAAUUCCUGAAAUGAGAUUCGACCCAACUCGACUUUGAAUUUAGCUAAGACCCUUAUGACUUCAAGAUACCAAAGGUCAGUGACCCCCACUCCCAAAUAAAACACUAAACUAAACUGAUGGUAGCUAAAUUCUCGACAUAAGGUCCGACCCGACUCGAAUCCAAAUUAUACAAUUAAAAAACGUCUCUUUCUUCAUCAAAUACGCUAUACUAGUAAUCAAGAAUUAGUGGCUAAAAGAACAUAUAAAGAAAGCUUCCCUCCACAACCCAUACAUCAAAUUUUUGAGUAAAUUACAGGGAAUUUAUAAGAACCUGAGUGCAAGAUCGGCCAAAGACGCGAAGGGUGGGUCUGGUCCAAGGGAUGUGAUUGUCGAGGUAAUUGAAGAAUUCCCAGGCGACAUCAUAUGCUAAAAACCUGGGAACGUAAAUUACACUGCUUCCGUUUCCAAGAUCGACAGUUCGGCUCUUUUUAGAGUCAUCUUUAGGGUUAGGGUUAGGGUUCGCCUUCAACAUCAAAUUCAUGGAAGUAAGCAGGUAGGCUUAAAAACAACCCGAAUCUGGUAAAAUUAAUAGCAUUUGUAAGUUUACAUUAAGAAAUUUUGUAUAAAUUCGGUAUGGGGUGAUAUGAAAAUGGAUGCAUUCAGUGAUUUUAACUUAAUUAAGCGCCGAUUCCAAAAAUCUUCCAAAUUAAGAAUGGCUCCAAUUUUCCACAAAUUAAUAAAGAUGGAUUUACCAUUACUACACGGAGUUAACCUUCAUAGAGGAGGGUGCUGCCGAUGUUGCAACCCACUGUACAUAGGGACACGUGUACGGUUGGCAUGUGGGGGUGCAAUGCAUAUGCUCGUAUAAUUAUUUGCACCUCUUAAAGACCUACCCCCGGCCCAAUAAUAAAAUGGUGGAAUUUGUUAAAAGUCCCUAUACUAUGUUUUGGUCAUUGUACUCUAAUUCGAUAAUAUUUAAUCUUUGUAUUUUUUUAAUAUUAAAAUUUUACUUCUGACCAAAUGACAAUCAAUAAAUUCAUUUUUAUUAAAUUAUGUAAUUUUCAAAAUCUUACCUCGCAAACAUAUCACAUGAGUAAUGUUAUAUAAUAUUCACACAAAAAAAUCAUCAUUUUAAUUAAUGGAUUUAACAUAAUUUGUUUUAAUUAUGAUUAAAGUUUCGAAUAUGAAAAAUAUAAGAAUUGACUUUGAUUAAAUUAGAAAACAUUAAUUGAAUCUAAAAUUUAUGCAUAAUACGAAUUUAACUUGUCACUGUUUUAAAUCAAAAUUGAAAUUAACCAAUUUAAAAUAAAAAAAUUCUAAACUAAUGAGAAAAUUUGAUCAAAAAAAGUAUUAUUACAAAAAUACUUACUUUUGAUAUUCUUGGGUUAAUUCAUCAUACAUCCUCCAAUUUUGGAAGAAAAUUAAAUUAAUCAUUAAACUUUAAAAUAUUUUAAUUAAGUCCUUAAAGUAUCAAUAUAUCUUUUGUUAGCCUGGACAUUAGCUUAGAUGUUACAAGUUCAAAUAUGACUUUAGCAUAUUUAGAAUUUGAUCGAAGUGUAGAUGUAUAUGUAGCAAUUAAAUGAAUAAAAAUAGCCCUCCAAAUUAUUGAUUAUUUUUUAAUAUGUCAAUUUAAGUUAUCCGUGCGUUAAACUUUUUAAAAAUUAUCCAUAUGAUAAGUACAUACAUUUAUAAUUUAGUCCAUACAUUUUAAAUAUGCUCUGAAUUAACAUUUAAUGUUUGACUAAGAGACAGAUGUUAUUAGGGACGAAACCAUAUAAACUUCUUUAUAAGGAGCUAUAAAGAGGGGCAAAAUGAAAUUAUGCCAUUAUAUAAGCUUACAAUAUUACAAAUUUCAAUUAAAGAUGUUAAAGUGAAAUAAAACCAGUUUAUUAUAACUUUUUAUCAUGUCUACUCUUUUUGAUAUAAUGUCUAGAAUUACUUAUAACUCGUUCUUAAUUCUUAAAUAAAAAGAUAAUACGCUUAAUUCUUAAAUAAAAGGAUAAUACGCUUCCUCGCAAUAAUAUUAAUUUCAAUUGAAAUAAGACUCGCACUCUAUAAUUUAGAAAUAGAUUCACUUUUUAUGAUAUAAUUUAGAUUGUAAGUUAUAAGAAGGUGAGAUGUACAUAACAUGAUCAUGAUUUGUUAAUCAACGCCAGAUCAUACGGAUGGCUUUGAAAGUCAGCAAUCGAAAGCUGCUUUGCAACCUCCCUCGGUCAUAAUAACGACAAUCUUUGUAUUUGAUUCUCCGCGUGUCUCUUUUCUAUUGGAUAGUUGUCGGCGCACUAAACUCCCCACCCUCCAUGCUUUAACAUAAGCUUUAACUUAUAUACCAAACCCACUAUUAAUAAUUUAUUUAAUUAAAUCUUAAUAUUUUUAUUUACCCAAAAAUUAAAUAUUAUAUUAUUAUUUAAUACAUUGCUUGUGUCUUAUUUAUUUAUUUAAUUAUUUAUAUAUUUUGAUUUAAUAUAUAGUGUGAUGCCAGUAUUUACGUUUUUAUUUUUUUAAUAUUGUAUAUGUAUUUGAUAAAAGUUAUAUAUGGUAUAUAAAGAUAAUAAUGUUAACUUUUUAGUGUUUAGUUCGAGUUUUAUAGUUAUUUUUAUGAAAAUUCAUAAUUAGCUAAUAAUAUUAACAACUAACUGUUGAUUGAGUUUUAGUUCAAUUGCCAUCACUAUUAUUGUCAGGACAGGAAGAUGUAGGUCAGAGUGUACUGAAACACAUAAUUAACUUAAAAAAAUUAAAUUAAACAUUAAAAAGUUAACAAAUUUAACUUUGUAUAUAAAAAUAUAUAAUUUUUAUCAAUUAUAUGCACUACAUCGAACCAAAUAAAUAAUAUCCUAGUUGUUUUUUAUUCUUUAAAUAUAAAUUAACUAAUUUAUAUAUACGUACAAUGCACACAUUUAAUUAUGUGUAUCAAAUAAAAAAUAUUAAAUUAUUUUAUAAUUUAAUCUCUGUGCUUUUUAUUUUAAAAUAAUAUUUGUAAAAUAAAUCUUGAUUAUUUGUGAUUUUAUUCUUUUAAAAUGAUAUAAAAGUUUUAUUAUUUAAAUUUAAUUUAGUGAAAUUUAAUUGAGUAUUGAUAUAAAUAAAUGAUAUUAAAAUAUAUACCAAAUAUUUACAAAUCAAACUGAAAGUUUUAAAAAUAUUUUAUUUCAUAUUUAGAAUUUAAUAAAAUAUUGACCACUUAAAUACCCAAGUUUAAUAUUUAUUUAAAGGGAGUAAUUAAUAUUGAAUUCAUUUAAAUGGAAAAUUGGUGAUAUACUUCAAGACUGGUUUUUAAAUAUAUAUUAUAAAUUUUGAUUUUGAUUCGAUGAUUUUAAUGAAAAAUAUGCAUUAAAUUUGAUAUAUUAAUAUUAAUGGUAAAAAAUUAUAUUUAAAACAUAAUUUAGAAAACGAGAUUUACUUAGGAAAAAACUUCAAAAUUUUUAUAUGUGCUUGAUGACGGAUUUUUAGUAAAACUUUCUAAAAUUAAAUAUUAUUUUAAAUAAGAAUUAAUUAUAAAUAUUUUAAAUAAAUAAGCUUAAAUUCACUUUAACGUAAGCUUUUAAUUUAUAUAUAUAAGACUCUCUAAGUAUCAGCCAUUCGCUCUCUUUAGUAUUAUUUUCUAACACUUUUGCAUUUGCUUCUUUCUUUUUCACACCAGAUCUGGGGAUCCAGGCUAUGGCUGAAAAGGUUCCUAAAAUCUCAUCCUUUUUCUCUUCAACAUUUAAAAUCCGAUACCCAUUUCUUUUUUUUUUAAUUUCUUUUAUUGUUUUUCAUGCUCCUCUGUUUCCAAUUUCUCUUUGUCUCUGUUAACCAGAUUUGUUAGCUAAUGCUAAUGAUUCAUGUAAAAUUUUUAUUUUGUAGGUGACGAUAAUGGUGCUGAAGGUCGACCUUCAGUGUAGUAAAUGUUACAAGAAGGUCAAGAAAGUGCUCUGUAAAUUCCCUCGUGAGUUUUCUAUUUUUGACUCUUUUUUUUCAUGGUUUUCUGCAUAUUAGUUGUAACAUUUUUAAUUAUUUGUUCAUUGAGAUUAACGGUGAGAAAUGGUGUCUGAGUUGAUUUUUCUUUUUUUUUUUUUGUGAACAAGAGAAAUACGAGACCAGAUAUACGAUGAAAAGGCUAAUACGGUGACCAUCACGGUGGUAUGCUGUAGCCCGGAGAAGAUCAGGGACAAGUUAUGUUACAAAGGUGGUGGAUCCAUCAAGAGCAUUGAGCUCAAGUCGCCGGCGAAACCCAAGGAAUCGGAGAAGAAACCCGACAAACCUAAAGAAGCCGAGAAGCCGAAAGAAGCUGAGAAGAAGCCGGAAAAACCCAAAGAAGCUGAGAAGAAGCCGGAAAAACCCAAAGAUCCUGAGAAGAAGCCGGAAAAACCCAAAGAUCCUGCUCCUGAGAAGAAGCCGGAAAAACCCAAAGAACCUGCUCCUGGGAAGAGACCGCCAAAGCCCAAAGACGGUGGUGAGACGAAACCGGAUAUACCUAGAGAGGUGGCGUCGCAGCAGAAUGUUGCGGCACCUUCUCCUUUACCGCCGAUGACGUAUGCAGUUGGGUAUACUUGCUCCGAGGGUUAUUAUAAUGGUUAUGGUGGAGGACCUAGCUAUUAUGGUGGACCACCCCAACAACCGUUCCCAUAUUACGAGACUUACGGUAGGCCUGUUUAUGACAGCUGGGGUGGCGGCGGCGGUGGCUACUACAGGUACGGCGGCCGUACCGGUGAAUGUUUUAGUGAAGAAAACCCUCAAGGUUGCUCGAUCAUGUAAAAAAACCGCGGGAAUUCGUUAUACUAUAAUGGUAAUAAUAAAUUCUCUUGUCUACUGGUGUAUGAAUCUGGGGGAGUCAUUUUGUGGAUUUUUAUUUAUUUCUAGUUUUAUUGAGUUUAUAAAAGUCGGUAAAGAUCAUUAACAAGGUUGGUGGCGUUGGUGGUGGCGGCGACAACGGCGGCGGUAGUGGUGGUGUGCUCCAGGCUUGCAAAAAGUUUGUUUACCAUAGUUUUAAAUUUUAAUAAAUAAAAAUGAUGUAUCUUUUUAUCUGUCAGAGUCUUUUGUUUUUAAUUAUAUGAAGGAAUUCAUUUGACAACAAAAUAAUCAUGGAAGGAACCUUCUCAAAUGUAAACUUAGAUUAUAAUAAUGUAGUAUGCUUAUUAAUUUUACAAUCACCAAGUCUAAAUGAAGUAUUUUUUAUUAUUUUAAUUUUCUAUUUUUGUCUUUUAAUGAGAAUUAAUAAUUUAAUUCUAUUGUUAAUUAUUGUCAUUAUAGGAAAAUGUAGAUUGGAGUGCCUAGAGUUUUAUUUAAGGGUUAAAAGAGGGAUUAUGAACCAAGAUCACCUUUGUUUUUACCCUUGUAAAGUUCAUGACUGCCUUCUUAACGAUUUCACCUCUAAAAUUUGAAAUGCAAAGAGUGUUAUAUUACACCUAACACUUAUCGAUAUUUUAAGUUAGCAUUUUAAUUUAUCAAGUAUUACUCAAUUAGAACUAACUUCAUUUUUCAAAAAUACAAGAGAGCAAGUUUUGAUAAUUAAAACACGACAAUGAACUUUUGAAUUUUUGUAAAGUAGAGGGAAAAUUUCGUAAUUAUACCUUAUCUUUAAGAAGCUUUGCAAAAUGUAUGAUAAUAAUAUAUAUAGAGACAUAGUGGUUCAAAAACAAAAAGCCAAAUCAAUUGGAUAAUAAUGGUACCAAAGCAUCCACGAGACAAUGUCACUAACGGUGGGCGCCUCCCUAUGGUUAUCCGGUCCCCAAACAGGCGGGCGAUGGCGUCAAAAUUACCAAUCUAGCGCUUAUCCUUAUAUAGAGUAGGCAACCUAGCUUAACCUAGACACUCUUAGUUUCCUCCCAUGGUUUCAAAUCUUAAUACACUCCAAACUUUAAUUAUUGAGAUAGAAAUCGAGUUUGAUUUGAAUUUUGAUUAAGUUGAUUUAAUUUUUUUUAAUUGAAUAAUAAUAAAUUUUGAUUUUUAUAUAUAUUGUUAUAAUGCAAUUGAGAAUUGUUUAGUACGAUAAUUUACACUAUAAGAAUGCGAAGAGCUACUGAAAUGGUUGCGAUUUAUAUUGUGAAAGUGUGAAAAGUCAUUGUUCUUGGUGAUUGGAGGAUGUCGAGUUAGUAUAUGUAAAGGAGAGAAUUUUGCUUAAUUUAAGAAUAUUUUUCAAAAGUGCUUUUAAGGAAAAAAAAAUACUUAUGAGAAGAAGUUAAAAUUUACAAUUUAAAAAAAAAAAAGAUUUUUUGGGUCAAUUUUUUAUUUGGAAUAAGCAUUUUUUUUUCUCAAAAAAUUAAGAAUACUUUUGUCCCAAAUUUUUUUUUUAAAAGCAAUACAAAAAUGACCUUAAAUUGGCACAGUAUAUUUAAUCAAUUUUGGUUUGAGCAGGUUCAGCAAUUUUUUUUUAUUAUAUGUUUGAUUUUGUUGGUGUAAAAUAAAUCUUAAUUAUUUGUGUUUCGGUUCUUUUAAAAUGAUAUAAAAGUUUUAUUAUUUAAAAAUAUUUAAUUUAGUGAAAUUUAAUUGAGUAUUGAUAUAAAUAAAUGAUAUUAAAAUAUAUACCAAAUAUUUACAAAUCAAACUGAAAGUUUUGAAAAUAUUUUAUUUCAUAUUUAGAAUUUAAUAAAAUAUUCACCACUGAAGUACCCAAGUUUAAUAUUUAUUUAAAGGGAGUAAUUAAUAUUGAAUUUAUUUAAAUGGAAAAUUGGUGAUAUACUUCAAGACUGGUUUCUAAAUAUAUAUUAUAAAUUUUGAUUUUGAUUCCAUGAUUUUGAUGAAAAAUAUGCAUUAAGUUUGAUAUAUUAAUAUUAAUGGCAAAAAAAUCAUAUUUAAAACAUAAUUUAGAAAACGAGAUUUACUUAGGAAAAUACUUAAAAUUUUUAUAUAUGCUUUGAUGACGGAUUUUUAGUAAAACUUUCUAAAAUUUAAUAUUAUUUUAAAUAAGAAUUAAUUAUAAACAUUUUAAAUAAAUAAGCUUAAAUUCACUUUAAGGUAAGCUUUUAAUUUAUAUAUAUAAGGGAUGGUUUGGUAAUACUUUUGAAAAGUGAUUUUCAAAAGUAUUGUAAAAAAAUAUUUUCGGAAAGUUUAGUUUAAAAUUUGAGUGUUUAACAUUGCUAUCAAAAAAUAUUUUUGAGAAAUAAAAUGUCUAUUUUAGACAUGUUAUUAUUAAAGAAUAAAUAUGUAUUUAAAUAAUAUUUAAAUUAGUUAAUAUUAUUAUAUUUUAGUAAGAAUAUAAAAAAAUUAUUAUAAUUUGUUAAUUUUUUAAUAUAUGAAAUAUAAAUUUUAAAUAUUUUUAAAUAAUAAAUAUUAAUUAUUUAUAAAAUUUAAAGAGAAUAUAUAAACUAUAUUUUAAAUAUUUAAAUAUAAUCAUUAAAUAUUUAUAAUUAAUAUUUUAAAAAAUAUUUUUUAAUUAAUAAUUUUAAUAAAUUUGUACUAAAAGAAAAAUACUAUGUUAUUAUAGUGGUGAAAAAUUAGUAAGUAAAAGUCUUUUCGGAUAGUAAAAAGUUAAAAAUUUUAACUUUUACUUUUUAGAAAAGCCAAAUAUUAUUAAGCAUUUCAGAACAGUAGCUAAGCCUAAGUAUCAGCCUUUCGCUAUCUCAGUACUAUUUUCUAACACUUUUGCAUUUGCUUCUUUCUUUUUCACACCAGAUCUGGGGAUCCAAGCUAUGGCUGAAAAGGUUCCUAAAAUCUCAUCCUUUUUCUCUUCAACAUUUAAAUCCGAUGCCCAUUUCUUUUUCUUUUUUUAAUUUCUUUUAUUGUUUUUCAUGCUCCUCUGUUUCCAAUUCCUCUUUGUCUCUGUUAACCAGAUUCGUUAGCUAAUGCUAAUAAUUCAUGUAAAGUUUUUCUUUUGUAGGUGACGAUAAUGGUGCUGAAGGUCGACCUUCAGUGCAGGAAAUGUUACAAGAAGGUCAAGAAAGUGCUCUGUAAAUUCCCUCGUGAGUUUUCUAUUUUUGACUUUUUUUUUCAUGGAUUUCUGCAUAUUAUUUGUAACAUUUUUAAUUAUUUGUUCAUUGAGUUUAACGUUGAGAAAUGGUGUCUGAGUUUAUUUUUCUUUUUUCUUUUUUUGUGAACAAGAGAAAUACGAGACCAGAUAUACGAUGAAAAGACUAAUACGGUGACCAUCAAGGUGGUAUGCUGUAGCCCGGAGAAGAUCAGGGACAAGUUAUGUUACAAAGGUGGUGGAUCCAUCAAGAGCAUUGAGCUCAAGUCGCCGGCGAAGCCCAAGGAACCGGAGAAGAAACCCGACAAACCUAAAGAAGCCGAGAAGUCGAAAGAAGCUGGGAAGAAACCGCCAAAGCCCAAAGACGGUGGUGAGACGAAACCGGAUAUACCUAGAGAGGUGGCGUCGCAGCAGAAGGUUGCGGCACCUGCUCCUUUACCGCCGAUGACGUAUGCAGUUGGGUAUAAUUGCUCCGAGGGUUAUUAUAAUGGCUAUGGUGGAGGACCUACCUAUUAUGGUGGACCACCCCAACAACCGUUCCCAUGUUACGAGACUUACGGUAGGCCUGUUUAUGACAGCUGGGGCGGCGGCGGCGGAUACUACCGGUACGGCGGCCGUACCGGUGAUUGUGUUAGUGAAGAAAACCCACAAGGUUGCUCGAUC
This 36554-nucleotide long non-coding RNA is filed under the name Gossypium barbadense (sea-island cotton). Its description in RNAcentral is "long non-coding RNA (GBAR_LNC008673)". Lineage: Eukaryota; Viridiplantae; Streptophyta; Magnoliopsida; Malvales; Malvaceae. The record is from RNAcentral.